This 76-nucleotide transfer RNA is filed under the name Cordylochernes scorpioides. Its description in RNAcentral is "tRNA-Gly". Lineage: Eukaryota; Metazoa; Arthropoda; Arachnida; Pseudoscorpiones; Chernetidae. The record is from RNAcentral.
ACCGUUUGCUUUUGGUAAGUGGUAGAAUGCUCGCCUGCCACGCGGGCGCCCCGGGUUCGAUUCCCGGCCGAUGGUU